This 363-nucleotide ribosomal RNA is filed under the name uncultured bacterium. RNAcentral's name for it is "partial 16S ribosomal RNA". It matches the Rfam family "Bacterial small subunit ribosomal RNA", at positions 338 to 698 of the family's 1533-position model. The record is from RNAcentral.
CCUACGGGAGGCAGCAGUGAGGAAUAUUGGUCAAUGGACGAGAGUCUGAACCAGCCAAGUCGCGUGAAGGAUGACUGCCCUAUGGGUUGUAAACUUCUUUUAUAUGAGAAUAAACUGUUCCACGUGUGGUAUUUUGUAUGUACCAUAUGAAUAAGGAUCGGCUAACUCCGUGCCAGCAGCCGCGGUAAUACGGAGGAUCCGAGCGUUAUCCGGAUUUAUUGGGUUUACAGGGUGCGUAGGUGGAUUGUUAAGUCAGUGGUGAAAGUUUGCGGCUCAACCGUAAAAUUGCAGUUGAAACUGGCAGUCUUGAGUACAGUAGAGGUAGGCGGAAUUGAUGGUGUAGCGGUGAAAUGCUUAGAGAUC